This is a long non-coding RNA of Pseudopipra pipra, 4406 nucleotides long. RefSeq lists it as uncharacterized. The transcript is spliced from 2 exons. Lineage: Eukaryota; Metazoa; Chordata; Aves; Passeriformes; Pipridae. The record is from RefSeq and is a predicted model, not a curated record.
CGCGCGCCCGUGCGGGGACACGCGCGCGCGCGGGGCCGGCGGGGCCGAGGGGGCCGGUGAAGGGGGAAAUCUGCGAGUGCGCGUGUGCGGGAGCGCGCGCGGGGCGGGGAGAGACGGAGCGAGCCGGGGGGGGGGACGCGGGGGAAAGGACGAGACAGACAGACAGACACUCGUGACACCCCCCUCCGAGGGCUGAGGGCAGCGGGCGGGCGCCCGUGGCGGCGUGGCGCGAGGGACAGGCAUUUUCUGCUGGAUCCCCUCGGAUAUGAGCAGCACCACGGAAGCAAUGAGGGAACUCCUCCCCACCUCCUGCUCUGCCCACUUCAGACCCGCUGCCAGUUUGCUGCCAGUUUGCUGCAGGGCACGAGCUACCCCAGCCUGGGGACCUCCCUUACCUGGGAGGGCUCUGCCCAGGGGCUGCAGGAGUGCCAGGUGCCUGUUCCAGAGCCCAGCUGCACAUCCUGACUGCUCCAUCCCUGGGGGGGCUUUCCACGUCCCUUCCCGAGGCAGGUAGGCUGGUUAUCUGUUAGACAGGGAAAGAGCAGGCUCAGGAGAGGGGGAACACAGAGGAAAUGAGGCAGUUUCCUCUUUGUUUAUCCUGACCAAAAGCCUGUUGGGCUGCUCUGGCCCAGAUGCUGCAGAGCUCUCUCUGCCACUGGUGUGAAAAGAAGAAGGAAGGAAAAGUCUCCCAGGAAGUAAAAAACCAGUCAGUGCUGCCAUCAAUCACUCUGAAGCCACAAGGCUCCAGGGCUUUAGGUUAAAAACUGCCAGGCUUUUACCAACACUGGGCCCUCCAGCAUAGAUUUAUCACAGUAAUGUCCUGGACCCAAAAAUUCAGGGCUGACUUAACACCAAGCUAAACCAAUUCACACCUCUGAGGCCAUUCCCACCCAUUCCCGCUGUUCCUGUGCCCCCUGGAGCAGUACCAUAAACACAGGGAUGGUGGGAAAGGAGGAGUGAAUGCUCUGGGGGCUGCACAGCUGAGCCACCCUGGAGCAGGGGUAGGGAGGGACAGGCACCUUCCCAUGUGCUGCCUUGGGCUGGAGGGGCUAAAACCUGGAGCUGGAGAGUGGAAAGGGCACCAGAGGGUUACUGGCCAGGCUGGCACAGGGACUGAACCCCCAGUGACACUGCCAGGCAGCUCUUGUGCCAGCCUGGGCUCUUCCUCCCUCACCUGCAGCCUGUGUUUGCCCUUGUCCAUGUCCUUGUCCCUGUCCUCUGCCCUGCCCGGGUGACCUCCAGCUCUGCUGUCCCCAGGGGAGCCCGAGGGACACUUUUGGUCCCCGUGACCCUCCCCAGGCAGAUUUGCUGCUGCCACCUGGUGGGAACCAGCAGGGAAAGGCCCUGCUGCUCCUCUGCUUGGGUGACCUCGGGAAAGGGGACCUCUGGAAAAAGGGACCUCUGCAAAAGGGGACCUUUCCUGCCCUUCCUCCUGCCCCCGUGAGCAGCACAGCCCCAGCCUCCAUCACUCAGCCACACAACACCCCCCAGCCCCGAGAGCCUGGUGCUCAAUGUGACAAUCUGUUGGAAAAUCACGGAAUCCCAGGAAAGUUCAGGCUGGAAGGAACCUCUGGAGAUAUCCAGGCAGGGUCACCUACAAACCAGGUGGGAAAGGGGAGGAUCCAGGAGUACCUGGGGGAGGGAUUAAAAGCUGUCAAAUACACUAAAUUCAAAGUGUUUUGUGCAAACAGGUGACAAAAAUGAAGAAACACUGAGCAGAGAAAACAUUGCCCUCCCCAGAGCAAAACCUGCAGUCCCUGAGGAGCCCCCACACAGCAGAGAACUGGUAAAACUGCCCAAAACACGAAAUUCUUCCAUGCAGACAGUGGGAAUCCAGCUGGGACAGCCAGGCCAGGGGCCACUGGCUUUUCUGGUCACAGGUUUCUCCACCUUCCCUCAGGGGGCACCAUUUGGGACAACACUCUGUCCCGGUGUCCUGUGCAGGGCCAGGAGUUGGACUCUGAUCCUCAUGAGUCUCUCCCAGCUCAGGAUAUUCCACGAUUCCCAUCUGGAGCCAGGCCUCUGAGGACCAAUAAACAAUAGAAACAAGGGGUUCAUUGAACACACUCCAAACCAGGCCUAACACACCCCAAACAGCCCCAGUUCAGGAGCAGCUUUGGAGUGGGAUGAGUUCGUGGCACCUUUAGGCAUUCAGGGAGGCAGGGACAGGGGCAAGGAGCAGCUUGGGGAACGUUUGCAGAAGGAAUUACACCCAAAAGCAAAGGAAAGAGUGAUUAAUCAGACCCAGGGGACACCGACAGAGCCUCAGACACCUCCUCCAGAGAGGCAACAGCAGGAAACACUCCACACUCCCCUGGAACUCUGAACUGGAGGGAGAGGGAACGCAGAGCCCCGGGAGCUGAGCAGGGAUUUCAGCCCCACUGCUCGGAGCCCAACACCUGGAGUGUGAAACUAAAGCAGGAAACACUUUAAAAGGAGCCUUGGGAGAGCAGUGGAAGCUUCCCCAGAAGUGUCUGAAGCAGUAAAGCAGAAGAAUAAAGAACAAGAGCACCGGAGGGGGAAGAGAUCUGGAAGUUAUUUGGGAGUUCCUCGGCUGCCUGAAACACUUUGCAAGCUCAGGCACCUCAUCACUGCAGGAGCAUUCCCUGCCCAGCAGAAAAGGCAGGAAAGGCUUUCCAUGUCACCAGAAGUGAGGGCAACAAGUGCAAGGGGCUGAAAGGAGCCCACCAUCCCCAGCAGGUUCCACAGGAACCCCCAGGGCAGCAGUGACACCCACCCCAGGCUGUUGCUGAGGGAUAACAGAUCCCUGCAGGAUCAACAGGCUGGAACUGUGCAGGGAGAGCAGCAAAAGCCCUCACAGAAACAAGACACUCUUGUUAAAGGUAUUACCUUGGUGCAGGAAUUCAGACUCAUGUUCCAAGCUUCUAAUUCCUCAGGAUCAAGCCCCGUUUACCUGUGCCAGGUGACUCUCAUCCCGAUAAUCCAGCACGAGCAGGACGUGUCUUGCCCCACUGACCCAACCUUCAUUCUUCUGAGACAGCAGAGAAUAAAGCAACGACCCACACUGCCCCCCUCGGGCCUGUGACAUUUAUUGAAGGCUGGUUACACAAUCUCCCCCAUCACAUCUCCUCACAACUCGGCCUCCCGAAGUAAAAAAGAGCGUGGAUGUAACAGAGAAUUCUGCCCACCCCCGACUGCCUGAGCCAGAGCACCGAGUGCCCCUCCCUGUGCCAGGGCUGGCCUGGGAGAGCACCCCAUGGGCAGGAGGAACAGAGCAGGGGGCAGCAGCAGGGGGAAGAGAGGUCCUGACUGCAGCAGGAUUCCCUGCAGAGGAGCCACCUUCCCCUCCGUGCCUGGAAUCCAUGCACUGCACAGGGGAACCUCCUCACCCAGCACGGAGCUGUGCCCCCAGCUGCCAGGGCUGUGCUCCCCACAGGCACAGCAGAGCCACUGCCCCAAGCUGAGGAGUCCUUUUGCUCUCAGGUGACCCUGGAGAAGGACUGGCUGGCUGGAGCCCUGUCCCACAGUCCAGGCCCUGCCGUAGCGGCCUGAAGGCACUGAGGCAGCCGAGAGCCCUGAUGGAUCCGGCACAGGGAGUCACCCGGGCCACCUGCUCAUCCCAGGGGGGAGGAGACGGGAAACUCUGCUCCCGGUGCUCAGACUGCCUGGAAAGGGGCAAUUCUCAAACCUCGAGUGGUCGGUGGAGCCACAGCUCUGCCGCCCGUGGGAGGAGACGCAGCUCUGGUGUCAACGCGCGUUCGCUUUUAUUGGGUUACCAAUUGGAGAGAGGGGCUGAUUUCCGUUUCCUCUGCUUUUACCGACGAGGAAACCGCGAUGAUUUGGUUCUGGAGAGGGCUGAGCCGGCGGGGCAGGGGCCGCCGGGCUCACUGAGGCAGCUGCAGGAGCACGGACUGUCCGGAGGGCAGGUAGGUGAUGUUGCGGGAGCGCGAGAGCUGGUACGCGAUGUCCUCGGCCGCCUCCAGCUUGCGCAGCUCGAUCAGCCCGUCCCCGGCCGUGGCCAGGGAGUUGGCAAUGAGCUCUGCUGCCUUGGAGUCCCCCUCAGCAGAGAUCACUGCUGCCUUCUUCUGCUGCUCGGCCUGCAAGCGAAGGGAGAGGGUGAAGGGGUGAUUUCCUGCGAGGAAACGAGCAAACCAAAGAGCAAACCAAAGGCCGGUGCUGUUCCUGUGUUGGAAACCCCAGUCCCACCUCCCUGCCCUCCUGUUCUCUCCCUCAGGCAGAAAGGCAAGGUAAGUUCACUUUUUACUGUUUUUCUGCCUACUGUGGGGGGAAAAAGACAAUUCCAAGAUGAUUUUCAACCUCAGGAAACAUUAAUCCACCUGAGGGUGGAAAAUUGUCUAGGAGGGAUUGGAGACACCAAGAACCAAUUCCAAGUUUCUGAGAAGGCCAAGUUACCUUUUCCACAAUGAAUCUGGCUCUCUCUGCUU